RNAcentral lists this ribosomal RNA (425 nucleotides) under uncultured bacterium. RNAcentral's name for it is "bacterial SSU rRNA". It matches the Rfam family "Bacterial small subunit ribosomal RNA", at positions 355 to 772 of the family's 1533-position model. The record is from RNAcentral.
UGGGGAAUUUUGCGCAAUGGGCGAAAGCCUGACGCAGCGACGCCGCGUGGAGGAUGAAGGCCCUUGGGUCGUAAACUCCUGUCAGGUGGGAAGAAAAGCCUCGAGUGAACAGCUCGGGGACUUGACUGUACCACCGGAGGAAGCCCCGGCUAACUCCGUGCCAGCAGCCGCGGUAAUACGGAGGGGGCAAGCGUUGUUCGGAAUCAUUGGGCGUAAAGGGCGCGUAGGCGGCCGACCAAGUCGGGUGUGAAAUCCCUCGGCUCAACCGAGGAACUGCAUUCGAUACUGGCUGGCUAGAGUCCGGGAGGGGAUGGUGGAAUUCCCAGUGUAGCGGUGAAAUGCGUAGAUAUUGGGAAGAACACCGGUGGCGAAGGCGGCCAUCUGGACCGGUACUGACGCUGAGGCGCGAAAGCCAGGGGAGCGAA